AUGGUGCGAGUGAGGGUGCGUCCGGGGGCCAGAGGGAGGCGGACCCGCCAGGCGGCAGGUGAAGCUGUCAGACUUCGGGUUCUGUGCCCAGGUGAGCAAAGAAGUGCCCUGGAGGAAGUUGCUGGUCGACAAACCCUACUGGAUGGCCCCAGAGCUCAUCUCCCGCCUUCCCUAUGGGCCAGAGGUGAGCCCCAGGGUGGCUUGGUUGUCCUGCUGUUGGCAGCUCUAGUCCAGCUGCAGUGCUGGCGGGAGGUGGGGCUCAGCCUGGGGAGUGGUUGCCAGGAAUGGUGCUCUGGAUGAGGAGGUACUGCAGGCAUGCAUAUGUUCAUGAAUUCAUUCAUUCUUUAUUUUCUUUCUUUUUGAAAUGGAGUCUUGCUCUGUUGCCCAGGCUGGAGUGCAGUGGUGUAAUCUCAGCUCACUGCAACCUCUGCCUCCCUGGUUUCAAGUGAUUCUCUUACCUCAGCCUCCUGAGUAGCUGGGAUUACAGGUGCCCACCACCAUGCCCAGCUAAUUUUUGUAUUUUUAGUAGAGACGGGGUUUCACCAUGUUGGCCAGGCUGGUCUCCAACUCCUGACCUCAGGUGAUCUUCCUGCCUUGGCCUCCCAAAGUGCUGGGAUUACAACCAUGAGCCACUGCUUCCAACCUUGGCUCUGAUUUCUGAGUGAUGUCUUCAGGCAGGCCGCUUUCCCUUUGUGGGAGCAGAGCCCACCCCAGCAGUUAUGGGAAAUGUCUCCUGCCUAUGGGCUCCCCUCUUUCCAUGGCUGUUUUGGGUAAAGUCCCCAGCUUGGCUCAUAAAGCCUGAGCAGGUGCACACUGCCUUGCUUUGACAGGAUAAAGCAAGAAGUGAGCCCACCCUGG
This 858-nucleotide long non-coding RNA is filed under the name Callithrix jacchus (white-tufted-ear marmoset). RNAcentral describes it as "lncRNA (ENSCJAG00000068107.2)". Lineage: Eukaryota; Metazoa; Chordata; Mammalia; Primates; Cebidae. The record is from RNAcentral.